UACGGAGGGUGCGAGCGUUGUCCGGAUUUAUUGGGUUUAAAGGGUGCGUAGGCGGCCUUAUAAGUCCGGGGUGAAAGCCCGUUGCUCAACAACGGAACUGCCCUGGAUACUGUGAGGCUUGAGUACAGACGAGGUUGGCGGAAUGGACCGAGUAGCGGUGAAAUGCAUAGAUACGGUCCAGAACCCCGAUUGCGAAGGCAGCUGACUAGGCUGUUACUGACGCUGAGGCGCGAAAGCUAGGGUAGCAAACGGG
RNAcentral lists this ribosomal RNA (253 nucleotides) under uncultured bacterium. RNAcentral describes it as "partial 16S ribosomal RNA". It matches the Rfam family "Bacterial small subunit ribosomal RNA", at positions 524 to 776 of the family's 1533-position model. The record is from RNAcentral.